RNAcentral lists this small RNA (485 nucleotides) under Pongo abelii (Sumatran orangutan). RNAcentral's name for it is "processed transcript". The record is from RNAcentral. Lineage: Eukaryota; Metazoa; Chordata; Mammalia; Primates; Hominidae.
GCAACAGCCUUCCACUUCUGAUCAGUCUUCUCAUGAGGGCUCUUCACAGGACCCUCAUGCUUCAGGUCCCCUGAAGUCAUGGGUUGCUGGCUCCUGCUCAGAGUGACAGCACCCUGUGGAGUCUGCUGGUACUGACCUAACCACCACAGAGCCCCACUGGAGCAUGGAGCCAGCCUAGAGAGGGUCAGGUAGGAACUGUUUUUUCACUUUAUGGCACGGUUUUACCAAUUGGAAAAAAGUAAUUUUUAUACCCCAAAAGGGUAUAAAACAUUGGUGAUUAUUUUUGAAAAAGGGCUUUUCAAAACUGAGCCAUAUUGGAAAAAAUCAGCACUUACCCGAUCCUGUGCAAGCAGGCUCUAAACAACACCAGAUUUCCCACAGUGUCCAUAAUGACAGUCACAUGGCAGCACUUCUCAGAUGGAUGCAUUGGAUCUAUGUGUUUGAUGUUUAUAAAUAGUUAAUAAAUUAGAUAUGAUAUUAGUCUA